Lonchura striata (white-rumped munia) is the source of this 601-nucleotide RNA transcript. RefSeq lists it as uncharacterized. The record is from RefSeq and is a predicted model, not a curated record. Lineage: Eukaryota; Metazoa; Chordata; Aves; Passeriformes; Estrildidae.
CUUCAUUGCAGCAUUAUCAAUGUGCAAAAGCCACAGAAUGAAGCUGGUUCUCACUUCACUCUGUAAACUGGAGAAGAGUUCAAGCAGAGCUCAAGGAAGAUGGAAGUAAAAUUCUGUUACAUAGAAGAGUGGAUUUUGUCCUCAGACCUGGCCCUGUCACUUAGAGGGAGAAUUCUACACUCAUCUAAUCACUUUGCAAGUACCAGCUUGGAUUUGCUUUAGCAGUCUUUUCCAUGAGCAAAAUUUCUACUCUUAAUCUUUUCCUUAAUAUUAAAAGAAAAAAAAUCCAUUAGUAAAAUUAAUAAUGAAGGAGCAAUGUGCUUGAAGCAAAUGUGUCAAGAAAUGACUUAUUUUUUCUGAAUAAUGAAAAUAAAGGGUGAAUUCAUUUACCUCAUCUUAUUUUUUGCUGUCACAACACUCUGGAAAAUUCUUGCCUUAUGCUGUCCUACUCAAUGUUUAUUUGUUUCUGUCUCUGAGGGGAUAGCUUAUCAUAUAAAAGGAGAACACAUUGGAAAAAUACAGUUGUUCCCUAUGUUCUCCAAAAAGUCUUGUUAUGCAAGGUCCUCUUCUAAAAUACAUCUGUCACACUCUAUGAAACAUU